AGGACGAACGCUGGCGGCGUGCUUAACACAUGCAAGUCGAGCGGAAAGGCCCUUCGGGGUACUCGAGCGGCGAACGGGUGAGUAACACGUGAGCAACCUGCCCUUAGCUCUGGGAUAGCUCCGGGAAACCGGAAUUAAUACCGGAUAUUACACCGGCUGGCAUCGGCUGGUGUGGAAAGAUUUAUCGGCUAAGGAUGGACUCGCGGCCUAUCAGCUUGUUGGUGGGGUAGAAGCCUACCAAGGCGACAACGGGUA
RNAcentral lists this ribosomal RNA (255 nucleotides) under uncultured bacterium. RNAcentral's name for it is "partial small subunit ribosomal RNA". It matches the Rfam family "Bacterial small subunit ribosomal RNA", at positions 26 to 285 of the family's 1533-position model. The record is from RNAcentral.